This is a long non-coding RNA of Felis catus (domestic cat), 654 nucleotides long. RefSeq lists it as uncharacterized. NCBI's taxonomy places the organism in Eukaryota, Metazoa, Chordata, Mammalia, Carnivora, Felidae. The transcript has 4 exons. The record is from RefSeq and is a predicted model, not a curated record.
CACCCACAGGACACACAGUAUACACUUUCUGAAUUAUUCUUUCCCUUUCAGACCCUUUUCUUGUCUCAAGCGAUCUGUUAUUUCCUUUCUCAUCUCUUUGUUUCUUCUUAUCUGUCUUAACUAUACUUUCUCCGACACAAGGGAAGACGUUUUCCUCUAUGUUUUUUUUGUUUGCAAUUCCACAAAGAGCAAGUCCUCAGAUAAUAUUUUCCAAGAAUGACCUAAACUGAUCUGAAUCAGUGUCUAUUACAUGCGUGAUUUUCAAUAAACAGUGAUGAAGAUAAUGAACUCACUGAAUCAUGUACCCAGGACUGCGAGGGAUUCACGAAUACCUCUAAAGAUAUGCAAGAAACUGGUGAUACCAGAAAUCCCUGGAGAAUUAUGGAGCAGUGGGGAAGAGAGGUAUCAAGAUAAUGCCACUGGGGAGACUAGUUUGGUAGGAUGAGCAACGUCAAGUGACUUUACCUGUGGAGAGAUUGGAUGGCUACCCACUUGGGCAUUUUAUAAAAAUACCGGGAAGUGUUCUCCAGCUGCCACAAGUCUUCCUAUGCAAUCAAGACUGACGAGGUUCUACACCUAAGGAAAGAAAGAGGAGGGCAUGUCGGUAAGAAAGGCAUUUGCUUGCAGGUGACUGAAUGCCCAACGAGGACUGCC